Molecule: ribosomal RNA, 305 nt
Filed under: uncultured bacterium
Lineage: Bacteria
Description: bacterial SSU rRNA
Rfam family: Bacterial small subunit ribosomal RNA
Source: RNAcentral
CUAUACCUACGGGACGCAGCAGUCGGGAAUAUUGCGCAAUGGAGGAAACUCUGACGCAGUGACGCCGCGUGCAGGAAGAAGGUUUUCGGAUUGUAAACUGCUUUAGACAGGGAAGAAACAAGACAGUACCUGUAGAAUAAGCUUCGGCUAACUACGUGCCAGCAGCCACGGUAAUACGUAGGGAGCAAGCGUUAUCCGGAUUUAUUGGGUGUAAAGGGUGCGUAGACGGGAAAACAAGUUGGUUGUGAAAUCCCUCGGCUUAACUGAGGAACUGCAACCAUAACUAUUUUUCUUGAGUGCUGGAG